Molecule: long non-coding RNA, 2527 nt
Organism: Homo sapiens (human)
Lineage: Eukaryota; Metazoa; Chordata; Mammalia; Primates; Hominidae
Gene: EDRF1-DT
Product: EDRF1 divergent transcript
Exons: 5
Source: RefSeq, marked predicted
AUCUGACGCUCAGGCUCCGCCCCCUGCAUGUCUUUGUUGGCAAACAGUUCUGGGGGUCGUCCGAUCCUGCAGGCUGGGAAGUUCAAGCACAUGGCUCUAGCUUCUGGUGAGAGGUUUCAGGCUGCGUCAUAAUAUGGCAGAGAAGAUCAAUGGGUAAAUGGACAUGUGUGAAGAAAGGCAAAACCAGAGACCGUCCAGGCUGGACUUGAACUCCUUCCUCGGCUGAAGUGAUCCUCCUGCCUCAGCGUCCUGAAUAGGAAGUGGAGCCAGAAUCCACAGAUGUCAUUAUCCAUCUGCACACUUUGUUUACUACCCAGAAGGCAAGAAUAUUGCAUUUUAAAAGUGCCCGGACUUUUGUUCUUUCUUAUCACAAAUGACUUGGGAAGCUCCGACCACUCAUGUUUACCCCGAGUGAAAGUCCCAUUCAAAGCCUUGCUUCCUGGAGAGCUUUGAGAUUCUGGUACAAAAGGCAUUUUAUAAGCACAAAGUGGAAAAGCAUCAUUCAUAUUCAUUUGCUGCUGCGGCAUUUCUCCCUGGAAUCUUCCUCUUGUCUGUCAACAUUGGGCAAAAGGACUGGCCUCAUCUACAUUACAGAUAUCCUUGUGAUGGUCUGGAGGGACCUGUGGGAGAGGCGGCCAUCCAGAGGGCUCUCUGAGGGGUCAUUUAGAAUGCAACUCUUCUGGGCAGAGGAUGGUCUGCACUGGCCUCCACCACGCAGGAAGGCUUCCAGAGUGGAGAAAUGUCCACUAACAUGGCUUCUGUGAGGUGUGGGCAGCUCUUUUCUUGGUGUGGGGCUCUGUUUGGUGUGAUGUAAGAGGUAUCACAGGGCUUUCCUGUCCCAGAAGAUCUUAGUGGAUGACACCUAUGGGGGUUGCCAGCUGGAUUAGGUGAGGCAGAGCACACAGCUCUACCUAAGGGGUCCCAUUCUCAUCUGGGAAUAUUCUAGGACAUAGGACACUACCCAAGAGGCAGAGCCUGGAGUGGCAUUAUACGGGUGAAAGAUCUGAGUGCCAGGUCCAUAUAAAUGAGUGGGGUUGGGGGGAUCGAGGUGCUUAGAGAACAGGAGAGCUGCCACAGGAAGGGAUGGUACCCACAGGGAGGAAGAACCAUGUCUCAGAUUCCUUCCUUUAUACCUCUUCCUGGGACCUCCUUGGAGUCUGCAGAUCAGCUGGUGCUUCUCCAUCUCCUGUCAUCUUCUUCAAAUCUUUUCAUCACAAAAAAUUUUCAGUGUAAACCUAAGUAGAGAGAACAGUAAAAGGAACCCCCAGGGGCCGUCACCAUCACCCACCAUCAACAGCGAUCAAUGGGCCGUCUAAGUCCGUUUUCCCUACUUUCAUCCCCGCUCCAGAUUAUUAUCAAAAGUAGCUCAUCCCUAGUUAUAUUUCAUUUAAUCCUCUCAGUUGCAUUUUUUUCUGGCCACGUUCUUCUGUCUGUCAAUCAUGGUCUUAAGUCAGACAGUCUGCUGGGUUGGCUAGGAAAAGACUCUUUCUUUCUCAAGAAAGAGUUGUAAGUAAUUUUGAGAGAAAUGUUGCAGAUUGACCAAACAAGGUAUGCUUAAUUUAGUUCAAUUCAUCAGUUACUUAUUGAGUCCUAGGCUUAGUGCUGGAUUCAACAUAUCAGUCAAUCAUGGUUUCUGGCCUACAGGGUUCAGUGCUCUAGUUCUGGGUGUGCGACGAGGACCACAGCAAGUAUUCACUCAGGAAAGGCAGAAUGUGGCCACAGGGAAAGGAAAGGUACAAGGUGUGGUGGAGGUUACAAGGCAUGACAAACACACUGGGCUGGGAAUGGUAACAGUGGAAGAGGAUCAGGAAGGGUCGUGAAGCCUGAGGCAUUGGAGAGGGACUUGGAAACCUGGGCAGACAGUGGGACGGUGACUGCAAAACACUCAAGUGUGCAGGUGGGAAUGGCAGUGGGGGACAGGCGAGCCUAGCAGCGAGAACACAUGGUGCAAGGGGCCCCAUGGGGGUUCUGGGGUGGAGGAGGUAGGCAAUUGGGCUCUCAAAGAAACCCUUGGGCUUUUUCUAGCUUAAUAAUAAACAAUUAUUAUUUCUAAGGAAAAAGAAAACUGGAUUUCUAGAAGCAUGGCUAUUAAAAAAAAAACAACUCCAGACCCCAAUUAGGAAACUGAAAGGAAAUCAAAGUGGGCCUAAUGGAAAUUAGGUAGUAGGGGCAAUAAAAGAAAAUGCAGGUAGCUGCCUAAAAUCCAGUGGACUCCAGGUCCACCAGCCAGGCACCACAUUGUUUUAACCUAUAAAUGAAGUAUGUCCAUGACUCUCACUACAUAAAAUGGAAGUUAAGCCAUAGUCCUUUUCCAAUGUGAUCUGAAAAUGUACUGUUUUUGCCUCUAGCAAAGCAAAUAUAUAGACAGAAAAUUCCUAGCACUGCUUUCACGCGAGGGAUGACAAAGGUGACAGACUCGGGCAAAAUGUUCAUAUUCUAUACGUGAAAUGGAAUGGUAACUUGAUUUUUCAAAAGGAUAAGAUUCUUGUUACAAAUUUAAGCAUAUUUAUUAAAGAAAACUCAAAUU